GGGUUGUUUAACUCACUGCCCAACUCUCGUGGUUGUGGCUUGUCGGAUGACAUUGAGAUACUUGCGAUCAGGCAACUGAUUGUAGGUGACUCGAUCUCGUUCUAGUACCCGAAGCAUCACAAGUCGAGACCCGACGGUUCCUAACUGUCGACUCGUAAUGUGACGCGCUACUCUUUAUCAGAGAGAGCUGCCAAAUGGCGUCCAACUUGACUUCUAUGGUGUCCGAGUGAACAUCAAGACGUGUAUCAUAACGUGUCUCGAUAAGAUCUAGGGCAUUCGUCUAACCGGCUCGUCGCUCUGUGCUGAAUAAUGAGGUUCGUUUGUCGAAGGAUCUUCGGAUUCUAAAACAAAACGUUGCGUGUCUUGCUAUUAUCAACCUGAACUCAGUCGUGAUUACCCGCUGAACUUAAGCAUAUCAUUUAGCGGAGGAAAAGAAACUAAAAAGGAUUCCCUUAGUAACGGCGAGUGAAACGGGAUGAGCCCAGCGCCGAAUCGAUCAGCCUAUGGUUGCUUCGAAAUGUGGCGUAUAGGUGUAGUCUUCCAGCAGUGUCGUGAGUCCGAAGUCCUUACGAUUGAGGCCAUAGACCAGAGAGGGUGCGAGUCCCGUCCUGGAUUGCGAUGCUGUUGGUUCGAUUGCUCCUUGGAGUCGGGUUGCUUGAAAGUGCAGCCUAAAGUGGGUGAUAAACUUCAUCUAAGGCUAAAUAUUGACUCGAUUGCGAUAGCGAACAAGUACCGUGAGGGAAAGUUGCAAAGGACUUUGAAGAGAGAGUUCAAGAGAACGUGAAAUCGCUGGAGUGGAACCGGAGACAGUUGAUGUUGCUUGGAGACAAGUUUGGUGGCUGGUCGCUUAGUUGUGAUCGUCGCCGGAUGUCGUUUCCUAUGCUACGCCGACGGCGUUGGUCGCUCGUUCUGGCCCGACAGUGUUGCCCAGCUCGCAAGAGUCGGUGUCUUGUUGUCGGUCGUUGGUUCGUGGUGGCUAGCGUUUAGUUACGCUAGUGUGUGUGACGUCGGUGUGAAAGUCGACGACGUUUCCGACCCGUCUUGAAACACGGAUUGCGGAGUGCUUGUCUACUGCGAGUCAAAGGGUGUUAAAACCUUGCGGCGAAAUGAAAGUGAAGGUCAGUCUUGAAUUGGCCGACGUGGGAUCGGUGCUCCUCGGAGUGCUGCGCACCACGGCCCUGUGCGUGUCACUUGUGACUGUGCAGAGGUUGAGCAGUUGGCAAACGACCCGAAAGAUGGUGAACUAUGCCUGAGCAGGAUGAAGCCAGAGGAAACUCUGGUGGAAGUCCGUAUCGGUUCUGACGUGCAAAUCGAUCGAUAGACUUGGGUAUAGGGGCGAAAGACUAAUCGAACCAUCUAGUAGCUGGUUCCUUCCGAAGUUUCCCUCAGGAUAGCUGGAUCUCCGGCAGUUAUAUUCGGUAAAGCUAAUGAUUAGAGGCCUUGGGGACGUAAUGUCCUCAACCUAUUCUCAAACUUUCAAUGGAUAUGAAGUUGCAGUUUCUUUAGUGAACUGUCAACGUGAAUGCGAGGUCCAAGUGGGCCAUUUUUGGUAAGCAGAACUGGCGCUGUGGGAUGAACCAAACGUGGAGUUAAGGUGCCUAACUUCUCGCUCAUGAGACCCCAUAAAAGGUGUUGGUUGAUAUUGACAGCAGGACGGUGGCCAUGGAAGUCGGUAUCCGCUAAGGAGUGUGUAACAACUCACCUGCCGAAUCAACUAGCCCUGAAAAUGGAUGGCGCUUAAGCGAGAGACCUAUACUCCGCCGUUGCGGCAUGUGCGUUGUCUAGCGCCAGGCCGUAACGAGUAGGAAGGUCGUGGCGGUUGCUUUGAAGGCUAUGAGCGUGGGCUCGGCUGGAGCUUCCGUCAGUGCAGAUCGUAAUGGUAGUAGCAAAUAUUCAAGUUCGAUCCUUGAAGACUGAAGUGGAGAAGGGUUCCACGUGAACAGUAGUUGGAUGUGGGUCAGUCGAUCCUAAGGUACUGGCGAACGCCUUGUAUCAUCGGUGGCGAAAAGCUUGCUUUUGGUCCCCGUUUGUCGAAAGGGAAUAGGGUUAAUAUUCCCUAACUGAGAUGCAAAGAUUGUGUUCUUCGGAGCACAAGCGCGGUAACGCAUUCGAACUUGGUUAGUCGCUCA
RNAcentral lists this ribosomal RNA (2129 nucleotides) under Caenorhabditis elegans. RNAcentral's name for it is "eukaryotic LSU rRNA". The stretch from base 374 to 2129 matches the Rfam family "Eukaryotic large subunit ribosomal RNA", at positions 1 to 1673 of the family's 3401-position model. RNAcentral also lists the same sequence under 1 other name. The record is from RNAcentral. Lineage: Eukaryota; Metazoa; Nematoda; Chromadorea; Rhabditida; Rhabditidae.